GAGAGGACGUCGUAGUUGACUACGACUAGUCGUCGGGCUGGCGUAGCCGGCUGGACAGAGGAGCCGGUCGGAGCGGGCAGGCACCCCGCUCGACUCUGCGUCUUUGGGGUACCUGGGGAUUAUUCCCCCGACAGUAGCCUCCGAGCCUCCGUGCGACUCAAAGAGCUGGACGGAGGGUUUUCGCAGUCGUUGUCGAUGCAGAAGUUGUCGAUAACGGUCGAUUGCAAGCCGGGGACGGAGUGGCUUGUUUUCAGCCCGAGCCGGCGACCCUUUGUAGCCGAACUUUGCAUGCAUCCGGCCUUACCUGGCGUCACCUCGCAAGCCAGACGACCGGAGCCAGUCCGCAAGCUCGUACGGGAUGACCAGGGACCAGCCGGCUCACACUAUGUGUUCUUUUACAAUAGGGAGGGCGUUCGAGCGGCUAGCGAGCCCCGAGCUUGUUAAAGCCAGCAAGGGCGUGCGCUGCGUAGCCUCCGAGCCCGAGCCGGUGACCCUUUGUAGCCGAACUUUGCAUGCAUCCGGCCUUACCUGGCGUCACCUCGCAAGCCAGACGGACGGAGCCAGUCCGCAAGCUCGUACGGGGUGACCAAGGAUCAGCCGGCUUACACUAUGUGUUCUUUUACAAUAGGGAGGGCGUGGCUUGUUUUCAGCGGGGGCACGCCAGCGCACCCGCUGGGUGUAGCCUCCGAGCCUCCGGGCGACUUGGAGAGUCGUGCGGAGGCUUCUUGCUGUUCUUGUAGCAGAUGUUGACGAUGUUGGCCGGCUACGGGUCGUGACUGGCAAGGCUCUAGCCGAACAGGAGUAGCCAACGGUCGUAAAGGCCCCAGCCGGCGAGUAGCUGGAAGCCGGUCGGGCUCCAGCCAGCCGGCUGAUGGGAGGUCCCCGCCAAGAUGAUCGCACAAAAGACAAGGUCGACUCGAAGAGUCGGGCGGAGGGUCUUUGCUGUUGUUGGAGUAGACAGUAGCGUCGGGGAUGUCGGACGCGGACGCAAUGUCCGCCGAUCGGUGCGCGCGAGGCGCUGCCGGGCGAGUACGCGGGGUCCGCCGGCCGGUGCGCGCGAGGCCCUGCCGGGCAUGGACGCGGGGUCCGCCGGCUGGUGCGCGCGAGGCGCCGCCGGGCGCGGACGCGAGGUCCGCCGGCUGGCUGUUUCCAUCGGGGGCGCGCAAGCGCACCCGCUGGGUGUAGCCUCCGAGCCUCCGGGCGACUUGGAGAGUCGUGCGGAGGCUUCUUGCUGUUCUUGUAGCAGAUGUUGACGAUGUUGGCCGGCUACGGGUCGUGACUGGCAAGGCUCUAGCCGAACAGGAGUAGCCAACGGUCGUAAAGGCCCCAGCCGGCGAGUAGCUGGAAGCCGGUCGGGCUCCAGCCAGCCGGCUGAUGGGAGGUCCCCGCCAAGAUGAUCGCACAAAAGACAAGGUUAGUCAAUGCAGACAUGUCUAAUACUCGGUUUUGGGAGUGCAAGUUUAUGCAAAGGGCGUCGGCUCGGUUUCGCCCGAGCCCCCUUAAGUAUUUUUCAUGUUCUCCCCGCUCUUUGGCUUUUGCUCUUGCUAGCCGGACAGCCGGGAGCCGGUCUGUAGCUGAGGCGAAGAGUGGGCCGUGGAAUGGAGCGUACAGUACUUGGACUAUGGGAGGAGACUCGACCGAGAAGAUACUCACAAAUGGAACGACCGUGUCGCCCAAGCCGUUUUCUCCGUGGGCGUUUUUCGCGUGUGGUGACCUUCAGUUUUUGCUCUCGCUAGCCGGACAGCCGGGGUGCGGUCUGUAGCUGAGACAAAGAGUGGGCCUUCGGUACCGUACAGGCUACUAAGCCGUCCCGUGGAAACGAACGUAUCGGGCCAAGCGGUCAACCCCGGGCCGAGACUAGCUAGCACCGGGGUGAACAGUGAAGCAACUGAAACAGAUGCGGGGAUGGCCUCCGAGGGUCGCUCGGGGUAUCCAUAUUUUGUGCAUUGUGUAAAAAUAUACAGACGAACAGCUCACAUUGCUUUUUUGAAGUCGGCAAGGCGGUUGUUGUGGCCUUUUCCCAACGGAGCGCGUCGGGGCACCCGCUGGGUGUAGCCGCCGAGCCUCUGGCGAUCGGCGGGUAUGCCAACAUGCUGGGAGUCGAAGCAGUUGGGCGACCGGAGUCGGCCCGAUGUCGAAGUAGACGGGCGAUCCGCGUCGGCCCAACGUCGAAGUAGACAGGUAGGCCAGCCGGCCAGCCGGCAACGCAGGUCGGGCGACCAAGGGGUGAUGCAGCUGAGCGGCACACUUUGCAACCUCUUCUUCUUCUUCUUCUUUUUUGGCUAGCCGGCCCACUCCUUGUUAAACAAUGUGUUUGGGGAACUGCUCGACAAACUAAACCUGGGUGCGGCUAUCUCAUUAUAUAGAGGUACCAAGAGGUACCGUAUAAGUCAUAUACAGUUAUAUACAGACACGCUACGUAUAUACAGUCUAACACCCUCCCUCAAUCUUAACUGUGGCCUGAAGUACAAAGCAAGUUAAGAUUGUGCCUACAUCCUACAAACUGAGGCUGUGGAAGAGGCUUCGUGAAGAUGUCAGCAAGUUUAUCCUUGGAAGAGAUGAACUUGAUACGGAGUAGCUUCUGUGCAACACGUUCCCUGACAAAGUGAUAGUCAACUUCAAUGUGUUUCGUUCGGGCAUGGAAUACCGGAUUCGAUGAGAGGUAUGUAGCACCGAUGUUGUCACACCAAAUUAUCGGAGGCUGAUCUUGAGAGACUCUCAACUCUCUCAACAAAGACUGUACCCAUAUGAGCUCAGCUGUGGCAUUAGCAACCGCCUUGUAUUCAGCUUCAGUACUACUGCGAGAUACUGUAGCUUGCUUGCGAGCAUUCCAGGCGAUCAAAUUAGGACCAAAGAAUACUGCAUAGCCCCCCGUGGAUCGCCUAUCAUCAGGACUACCAGCCCAAUCUGCAUCUGAGAAGGCCGAAAGCUCACAAGAUGUAGCAGGCUUAAGGAGCAAGCCAUACGAGGCGGUCAGACAGACAUAGCGCAGAAUCCGCUUCACAGCUGACCAAUGAGACGUCCUGGGUGCAUGAAGAUACUGACAUACACGGUUGACUGCAUAAGAGACAUCCGGUCUGGUGAUAGUGAGGUAUUGCACACCACCAACGAGGCUGCGGUACUCAGUAGCAUCAUCAGGUGAAAGAGGGUCUCCAUCAAGCACAGACAACCGAUCAGUGGCAGACAUAAGAGUGGUAGCAGGCUUGCACUUCAACAUACCAGCACGGCGCAGCAAGUCGAGAGAGUACUUAUGCUGAGUGAGAGUCAACCCAGCAGAAGACAGUGAGACCUCCAAGCCAAGGAAAUAGUGCAGAGCACCCAAAUCCUUGACAGUAAAAGCUCCACUCAGCGAAGAAACAAGGCGCUCGGCAGCAGCAUCAGACGAGCUAAUGAGGAUGAUAUCAUCCACAUAGACCAGCAUGUACAUCGUCACCUCAGGACGCUGCAGAAGGAACAGUGAUGUAUCAGACGUGGAGGAAACAAAACCAUGAGCUCGAAGAACCGAGCCAAGGCGUGCAUGCCAUGUACGAGGAGCCUGCUUCAGUCCAUAGAGAGCCUUCACCAGGCGACAGAGAUGCUGAGGACGUGCAUGAUCAACAAAACCAGGUGGCUGACGCAUAUAAACCUCCUCCUCUAGAACUCCAUGCAGAAAGGCGUUCUGCACAUCAAGCUGACGGAGAGAUCAUCCGCGAGUAACAGCCAAAGAGAGCAGCAAACGAAUGGUAGUAGGCUUGAUGACUGGACUGAACGUGUCUUCAUAAUCAAGACCAUACCUCUGUUUGAAACCCUUAGCAGCUAACCGUGCCUUGUAGCGUUCAAUGGUCCCAUCAGCAUGCUUCUUGACCUUGAAGACCCACUUGGAAUCAAUAAUAUUGACCCCAGAAACAGGAGGAACAAGUCGCCAAGUAUCAUUCUUCAAGAGAGCUUGAAAUUCCUCCUCCAUAGCAGUGCGCCAGUGCGGAAUACCGAGAGCAGCCUGAAAGUGUCGAGGCUCGGCAGUGGGAUCAGCAACGGCAUGGGCAACACAGGCAGCAAUCCAUGCAACAGUCCCAUCAGUGCGCUUCUUUGGACGAAAGACGCCAGCCUGACUGCGUGUACGAGGGCGAAGAGCCACAGCAGUAGGAGACGCUGGUGGCGACGACGAGCCAGACGCAGGCGAGGCGGUGUUUGGCGAUGCUGGGCCAGCGUCCUUCGCUGGCGAGGCCGGUGAUGAUGGGUCGGGCAAGGCCGGCCCGCUCGGAGCCGGGGCAGAGCUGGCCACGGGGCUAGGCGACGAGGAGGUGGCCGGGGAGGCCGGGCCGGGCAAGCCCAGCUCGGGCGAAGCUGGGCCGAGAGAAGUUGGCGCGGGGGAGGCCGGCACAGGCGAGGCCGGCACAGGCGAGGCCGGCACGGGCGGCACGGCAGCGGGAUCAUGCACGGGAUCGACGGUGCCAGCGUGAUCGACUUUGGUCGCCUGAUCAUCCAGAAGUUCAAGGCGAGCACCACGUCCAAUACCUGCAGCAUGGUUAGGGAGCAACAUAGGAGCAUAUGCAACAUCUACAAAUUGAUCAUGCGAAGGUAAAGCGGAGUGCACAGGUGGUGUAGGAUUAGUAGAGUUGUUCGGAAGUGCAGUAAAAGGGAACACGCUCCCAUCAAACACGACAUCACGAGAUAUGUAAACGCGAUUGGUGGGAACGUGAAGGCACUUGUACCCUUUAUGAAGGGAACUGUACCCAAGAAAAACACACUUUUUAGACCGAAACUCUAGCUUAUGCUUAUUGUAUGGACGAAGGUGAGGCCAACAUGCACAUCCAAAAACCUUCAGGAAAGUGUAGUCUGGGAGUUCAUUGAGCAAGAGUUCAAGAGGAGUUUUCAUUUGCAAGAGUCGUGAAGGAAGCCUAUUUAUUAAAAAACAUGUUGUGGAGAAAGCAUCACUCCAGAACCGAAACGGAAUGGAGGCAUGAGCUAGUAAAGUAAGGCCAGUUUCUACAAGAUGGCGAUGCUUACGUUCAGCGGCGCCAUUCUGCUGAUGUGUAUGAGGACAAGACACACGGUGCGAGAUGCCAAGCUUAUUAAAGAACAAAUUGAGAUGAUGAUAUUCACCCCCCCAAUCCGACUGAACUUCAGGAAAGUGUAGGUCGGCGCGGGCGGGGCUCCGUAGGUCGGCGUCGAGUGGGCGCCGGAGGGGACGGGCGCGGAGCCACGAGGGGGUGGCGGCGCGGCCACGUUGGUCGAGGCAGACGGGCCACCGGAGGAGGCCGGCGGCGGCGGAUCGCCCCCGCACCAGGCCCGACGGGAGGCGGCGGCUGAACCGAUCCCAGCGAGGGCCGAACCGGGGAUCGAGGCUGCCACCACGCGAGGGGAGUGGAGGCGAGGAAGGGCGAGGCAGAGGCGGAGGCCGUCGCGGCGGGAGGAGCGGCAGCAGCGGCUAGGGCUGGCGCUGCGGGUGAGCCGGCGACGGCGGGUAGGGCAGCGGAAGACGACAUCGUAACCUAAUCUGAUACCAUGUUAAACAAUGUGUUUGGGGAACUGCUCGACACCCUAAACGUGGGUGCGGCUAUCUCAUUAUAUAGAGGUACCAAGAGGUAUAGUACCAGUCAUAUACAGUUAUAUACAGACAUGCUACGUAUAUACAGUCUAACAGUUGGGGCUGAGGAACGGCCAGAACGGUGAUGGGCCGAGCCGUGGCCGCGACGGUUGCCGGCACGCGGUAGGAGCCGACGCAAGCGCGACGGUCGGGAGGGCCCAUCACCGCGGCCGCGGCGGUUGCCGGGACGCGGUAGGAGCCGGCGCAAGCGCGACAGCCGGGAGCGGCGCCAGCGUGAGGAUGACGCGACAGAGAGCUUGAGCUUGAUUUGGUGGGAGCGAAGAGCAAGGCGGAUGGUGCUGAGGCCACCAGCGAGGACGCGCUGCCCCGCGCCAGUGCCUCGGGGGCGUGUCGAGGUCGAGCCCCCGAGCAACGCCGGAGAGACGGCACCAAAUGUCGCGGUGGUGAUGAUGAAGAGGGUCCCGCCCGGACCGCAGUUCCAACGGCAACUGGCCCCACGGUGGGCGCCAAAUGUCGUUGUUUUCAUAUAGGGGUACCCUGACGGCAUAUGCCAUGGGAUGGCUAAUCGAGGUGAGGACAAGGCUGUCGUGGAGGAUCCGGGACGGGAUAGGGUAAUAGCAUGCGGUGGUUUACCCAGGUUCGGGACUCUCCGGAGAGAUAAUACCCAUACUCCUGCAUGUGUGUAUAUGAUGUAUAUUGGCAGUACAAGGUUGCUCCUGGAGCUGUAUUGGAAGAGGAAGAGAGCUGAGCGCCUCCUCCUUGACCUCAUGUCUGAGUGUGUGUAUGUGGGGAGCUGAGAGCUUGAGAGAAUGAGAGGGGAGCCUAAGGCCUUUUGUAUGGAUGUGCAGCUUGGGACCUAAGUUAUGCUUGUCUCCUGGGGUACUUUAUAAACCAGUGCCCAGGGGACAAGUUACAUUGUAGAUGAAGCAGUACGACACCUGAGAGGACGUCGUAGUUGACUACGACUAGUCGUCGGGAUGGCGUAGCCUGCUGGACAGAGGAGCCGGCCAGAGCGGGCAGCCACCCCGCUCGACUGUGCGAUUUUGGGGUACCUGGGGAUUAUUCCCCGACAGUUUGGAUCUUUGCUUGGGUUAAUAGUUUGGUAUUCACUGCUCUGUAUGCUUGGGUUAAUAGUUUCCUAUUCACUGCUGUGUAUGCAGUUUGGGUUUAACUCUUGUGGCAUCCCCAGGAAAAAGAAAUCUCUUGUGGCACAUGUUUCCUCCUUGUCUCUGUGUGAAGAUGUUUUUUUUUUAUCAAGGAUACACUGAGCUGGGACGAUUCGGUCUGAAAUAAAACAUGAUUGGCUACGUAGGAU
RNAcentral lists this long non-coding RNA (6842 nucleotides) under Hordeum vulgare. Its description in RNAcentral is "long non-coding RNA (HVUL_LNC013506)". Lineage: Eukaryota; Viridiplantae; Streptophyta; Magnoliopsida; Poales; Poaceae. The record is from RNAcentral.